Molecule: ribosomal RNA, 492 nt
Filed under: uncultured bacterium
Lineage: Bacteria
Description: partial 16S ribosomal RNA
Rfam family: Bacterial small subunit ribosomal RNA
Source: RNAcentral
AGUGAACGCUGGCGGUAGGCCUAACACAUGCAAGUCGAACGGCAGCACAGUAAGAGCUUGCUCUUACGGGUGGCGAGUGGCGGACGGGUGAGGAAUACAUCGGAAUCUACUUUUUCGUGGGGGAUAACGUAGGGAAACUUACGCUAAUACCGCAUACGACCUACGGGUGAAAGCAGGGGAUCUUCGGACCUUGCGCGAUUGAAUGAGCCGAUGUCGGAUUAGCUAGUUGGCGGGGUAAAGGCCCACCAAGGCGACGAUCCGUAGCUGGUCUGAGAGGAUGAUCAGCCACACUGGAAAUGAGACACGGUCCAGACUCCUACGGGAGGCAGCAGUGGGGAAUAUUGGUCAAUGGGCGCAAGCCUGAUCCAGCCAUACCGCGUGGGUGAAGAAGGCCUUCGGGUUGUAAAGCCCUUUUGUUGGGAAAGAAAAGCAGCAGGUUAAUACCCCGCUGUUCUGACGGUACCCAAAGAAUAAGCACCGGCUAACUUCGUG